AGACAGAGAUGUUUAUUUCUUCGGACUACUUACAAGGUGCUGCAUGGUUGUCGUCAGCUCGUGCCGUGAGGUGUCAGGUUAAGUCCUAUAACGAGCGCAACCCCUGUCGUUAGUUGCCAGCAAGUAAAGUUGGGGACUCUAACGAGACUGCCGGUGCAAACCGCGAGGAAGUGGGGAUGACGUCAAAUCAUCACGGCCCUUACGUCCAGGGCUACACACGUGUUACAAUGGUCGGUACAGAGGGCAGCUACCUGGUGACAGGAUGCUAAUCUCGAAAACCGGUCUCAGUUCGGAUCGAAGUCUGCAACUCGACUUCGUGAAGCUGGAUUCGCUAGUAAUCGCGCAUCAGCUAUGGCGCGGUGAAUACGUUCCCGGGCCUU
RNAcentral lists this ribosomal RNA (380 nucleotides) under uncultured Sphingobacteriales bacterium. RNAcentral's name for it is "bacterial SSU rRNA". It matches the Rfam family "Bacterial small subunit ribosomal RNA", at positions 998 to 1382 of the family's 1533-position model. Lineage: Bacteria; Pseudomonadati; Bacteroidota; Sphingobacteriia; Sphingobacteriales. The record is from RNAcentral.